CAGGUGUUGCACCAGCAGCAGGACCACCACGUCCAGCACCUUUCCCUGGGCCACCUCUUUCUUUAAUGCGAGGCCAAAGGCCGCCGGAUCUUUCACCAGCACCGGAUUUACCAUCUCAAGCCCCUUCACUUGGUCCACCUCCAGCUAUCAUUGGGGUCCUAAGACCACCGGGUGUUCAACCACCACCGGCAAUACCACGUCCAGCACUUCCACCUGGCCCACUUACUGAUGUCAUGGAAGGCCCAAGAGUUCCGG
Molecule: long non-coding RNA, 255 nt
Organism: Rhipicephalus microplus (southern cattle tick)
Lineage: Eukaryota; Metazoa; Arthropoda; Arachnida; Ixodida; Ixodidae
Source: RefSeq, a predicted model, not a curated record